RNAcentral lists this ribosomal RNA (253 nucleotides) under uncultured bacterium. Its description in RNAcentral is "partial 16S ribosomal RNA". It matches the Rfam family "Bacterial small subunit ribosomal RNA", at positions 524 to 776 of the family's 1533-position model. The record is from RNAcentral.
GACAGAGGGUGCAAACGUUGUUCGGAAUUACUGGGCGUAAAGCGUGUGUAGGCGGCUUUGUAAGUCGGAUGUGAAAGCCCCGGGCUCAACCUGGGAAGUGCACUCGAAACUGCAAAGCUUGAGUAUCGGAGAGGUCGGUAGAAUUCUCGGUGGAGAGGUGAAAUUCGUAGAUAUCGAGGGGAAUACCAGUGGCGAAGGCGGCCGACUGGACGAAUACUGACGCUGAGACACGAAAGCGUGGGGAGCAAACAGG